GAUCAUAAAAAAAUGCGCAUCGAUACAAGAUUAUUUGCUAUACGUGUGCAAGCAAUUAGUUAAGUCAAGAGAUCAUUUUACUACAAGCAAACAGGAUUACGGGAAUAAAAAAAUGCCUAUUUGUCAUCGAAAAUCCCAAAAGUAAGAAGCAUAGGUGAGUUGAAUUCAUUGAAGACGGUCAUAAGCACGUACACCUACAGAAAAUGUCCAAAUGAUGAGGACACGCUGUUCUACCAAAUUGUAAUACGAACAAUUCGUGUUCGGAAAGAAAAAAAUUGACGUUUUAAAAUUUUCGUAUCUUAGCUAACGUGAAAAUCGUCAAUCCCCGUGUUCCGUGCUGACAAUUUGAAUGCGAUGCAAAAAGAGCACAUUAGCAUGUUAGAUUUAUGAAAUAAUUGACAGACGAUUUAUUUAUCUAGCUCUCUAGCUGGGAUGUAAAGUAUUUGUUGAUGUAGUGAACUCGCGGCUUGUUAAAUGGGCGUAGUUUAAACUUUGAUAAGGAUUUCGGCACUUUUGCCACUUCAUCUCACUUAACAAUGCAAUAUGAAAUAUGGGAGAGAUGCUUACGUAAAUAGAAAAGCACCUUGGCAAAUAGGAAGCAUCGAGUGACUCGAUCGUGACGGGCGUGGAAAACAUUGUUCAAAUCAUUUCCAUGCAUUACGGAAAGAAUUCGUAGUGUUUUGGGAGGAAUUGGGAUAAAGCAUGAAAUCAACAAUACAGUUCUACUAUCACGGUGCGAAAAUUCACCACAGAGAACCGUUUCAUCAAACAUAAUAAUGCAAGUGGUUCAUUGGGAAAAGAAAAAUAUGUCUCGUAUAUUGCAAUAGCAAUUAAGUAUACGAGACAUCCCUGUAUUAUGCAUACCGUGUAUCUAAGUCGUCUUUGCCAAUUAGUAGACAUUUUCAAAUAUUGGACUGUUUGAUAACAUCAAUAAUCCACCAAUAUUCGAUUUACAAUUGAAAACCUUUUCAAAAGGCGCACCGAUAUAGGAAAUAUAUAUUUUUAAAGUUCAUCACAUA
Long non-coding RNA from Xenia sp. Carnegie-2017, 1019 nucleotides. RefSeq lists it as uncharacterized. Lineage: Eukaryota; Metazoa; Cnidaria; Anthozoa; Malacalcyonacea; Xeniidae. The record is from RefSeq and is a predicted model, not a curated record. The transcript is spliced from 2 exons.